CCGGGGCGGCCUCCGGGGGCACCGGCUGCGAGCGGAGCGGCACCGGCACCGGGACGGAGAACAAUAGCGGCGCUGGGAACAAUGGAGCGGCCGCCGCUCCCCGCCUAGCGAUGCGGCCGAGGGCAGCGGUCCCGGCCCGGCGGUAGCGCAGGACCCGCGGCCCGGGUUUUCUCCUGACCCCGCCGUGUCCCCCCAGCCCGGCUCCCCCCAUGCCCGCCCGGCCCCGCCAUGGAGCUCAGCACGGGGGGCGCGGUGCCCUGCGGGAAGGACAAGUUCAUCUCCAGGAAUGAGCUGCUCCUGCACCUCAAGACCUACAACAUCUACUACGAGGGGCAGAACCUGCAGCUGCGGCACCGGGAGGAGGAAGGGGAGCUGAUCGUGGAGGGGCUGCUGAACAUCUCGUGGGGGCUGCGCCGCCCCAUCCGCCUGCAGAUGCAGGACGACAACCAGCGCAUCCGCCCGCCGCCCUCCUCCUCCUCCUGGCACUCGGGCUGCAACCUGGGCGCCCACGGGUCCGUGCUGAAGCCCAGCACCCUGCCGGACAUCCAGGUGACAGAUGUGGACACGGCCACCGGCACGGAGAAUCCCGGGAAUGGCACAGCCCCCAGGGCGGCAGAGGAGGCCCCGCAGCUGAUGAGGACCCGCAGCGACGUCGGCGUCCGGCCCCGCGGCAGCGCCCGCACGGCCGGCGAGCAGCGGCGGCUGCGGCGGCACCGCUUCUCCAUCAACGGGCACUUCUACAACCACAAGACCUCGGUGUUCACACCCGCCUACGGCUCCGUCACCAACGUGCGCAUCAACAGCACCAUGACCACGCCCCAGGUGCUCAAACUGCUGCUCAACAAGUUCAAGAUCGAGAACUCAGCAGAGGAGUUUGCUCUGUACAUGGUGCACACGAGCGGAGAGAAGCAGCGGCUGCGCGGCAGCGAUUUCCCGCUGCUGGCCCGCGUGCUGCAGGGCCCCUGCGAGCAGGUGUCCAAGGUGUUCCUCAUGGAGAAGGACCAGGUGGAGGAGGUCACCUACGACGUCGCCCAGUACAUCAAAUUCGAGAUGCCCAUCCUCAGGAGCUUCAUCCAGAAGCUGGAGGAGGAGGAGGACCGGGAAGUGAAGAAGCUGAAGCACAAGUACUCCAUCCUGCGGCUGAUGAUCGAGCAGAGGCUGGAGGAGAUCUGCGAGGGCCCCACGGCCAUGUGAGCAUCCCCGGGAUGUGCUGCACCAAACCCCAGCCCCAAAACGCUCCUGGACGGCCCCAAACCCGAGCCAAAGCCCCUCCCAAAAACUCCAUCCCUCAAAAUCCUCGGGGGGCUCCUCCCAGGAAGCCUCUGGCUGGGGCAGCUCCAGCCAGAGCCUCAAAUCCAGGGGAAAAAAGGCAAAAAAAAUAAAUAGACAAAAGAGGAAUUCUGUGAGCAGCGCCAAGGUGGGGCUGCCAGAAUUGCAGAGCUGGGAUUUUGGGGGGGCUCGGGCUGGAAAUUCCCAAUUCUGGAAAAUACAGGGGAAAAGAAACAAAACAAAAAGGAGAAAAAAGAGGAGAAUUCCAGAGCUGGGAUUUUGGGGGGCUCAGGUUGGAAAUUCCCAACUCUGGAAAACACAGGGGGAAAAAAAUUUUAAAAAAGAGAGAAAAAGGAGGAAUUCUGUGAGCAGCACCAAGGUGGGGCUGCCAGAAUUCCAGAGCUGGAAUUUUGGGGGGCUCUGGUUGAAAAUGCCCACUGUGGCUCCCCGUGAGGGUCCUGCUGCUCGGCAGCAACGGAGCACAGAAAAUUUCCUCUUUUUUUUUUUUAAAUGAGAAAAGCACAUUCCUGCCCUAUCACCGCAAUAAUUCCCAGGUGUGGGGAGGAUUUAUAAAUCCCAAGGGUUGGCUGAGGUUUUGGGGGGGUUUAGCCCUGACCUGGGGGCUCGUGGGUGCGUUUCCAGCCCAGGAGAAAAUCCCAUUUUUCCCCCAAAGCUGCAGCCACGGCGUGGCCCCUCCGCCCCCCCCCCCCCCCCCGUAAUUUGCACUAAUAUUUCAGGAUUUUGCAGAAAACCACGAUGUCAAACCUCUCUGGUAGCUGAAAAUGCCAAAAACCACAAAAGCGAAUGGCUGAGGGCCUCGAGCACCUCGAGGGGUCUGGGUGGGGAAAGGGGGAGAGGCAGGAGGAGGCAGAAAUAAAGAGGAUUUUGUUUUCCAAAUCCAUUUUCUAGCCAGGAAACGAUCCUGGUGAAACCAGGAAAAACCUCUUUCCUCCCAGGCUAAACCAGCAAUACCCAUUUUAUACCUCGAUGUGAAUUAACUUUCCCCCCACUUCCCUUUGAGUUUUUGCAAUGCAUCUUUGUAAUUUUUUUCUUUUUUUUUAAUUUUUAAUGUUUAAAUUUAAAUUUUAAUUUUAAUGGUACCUUUUCCACCUCUAACUCACGUUGGGGAAAGUGUUUGUACAGCGAGAGGAGCUUUGGAUGUGUUUGAAGGAUGAUUGUGGCACUGCUGCGUGGAUUAACAAGGAAAUAAAAUAAAAUAAAUAAAAUAAAAUAAAAUAUGUAGCAACUUCAUGCAGAAU
This is an RNA transcript of Melospiza georgiana, 2528 nucleotides long. It is a transcript of the gene named Ras association domain family member 2, with no coding region annotated. The transcript is spliced from 13 exons. The record is from RefSeq and is a predicted model, not a curated record. NCBI's taxonomy places the organism in Eukaryota, Metazoa, Chordata, Aves, Passeriformes, Passerellidae.